UUCCGGUUGAUCCUGCCGGACCCGACUGCUAUUUGGGUGAGAAUAAGCCAUGCGAGUUGAAUGGGAUACCUAAAUUUUCCAUAGCAAACUGCUCAGUAACACAUGAUCAACUUACCCUAUAGAGAAAAAUAACCUCGGGAAACUGAGGAUAAUGUUUCAUAGUUGAAAAGGCUUGGAAAAGUUUUUCAAUAAAAAGGAUAAGAAAAAUGGUUCUUAUCCGCUAUAGGAUAGGAUCGUGCUCGAUUAUGGUUGUUGGUGAGGUAAUGGCUCACCAAGCCGAUAAUCGAUGGGGGCCGUGAGAGCGGGAGCCCCGAGAUGGGUACUGAGACAACGACCCAGGCCUUACGAGGCGCAGCAGGCGCGAAACCUCAGCAAUACACGAAAGUGUGACUGGGUUACCCAAAGUGUUCAGUUUUGAACUGUGGUAGGUGAGUAAUGUCCCCUACUAGAAAGGAGAGGGCAAGGCUGGUGCCAGCCGCCGCGGUAAAACCAGCUCUUCAAGUGGUCGGGAUAAUUAUUGGGCUUAAAGUGUCCGUAGCCUGUUUAGUAAGUUCCUGGUAAAAUCGGGUAGCUUAACUAUCUGUAUGCUAGGAAUACUGCUAAACUAGAGGGCGGGAGAGGUCUGAGGUACUACAGGGGUAGGGGUGAAAUCUUAUAAUCCUUGUAGGACCACCAGUGGCGAAGGCGUCAGACUGGAACGUGCCUGACGGUGAGGGACGAAAGCCAGGGGAGCGAACCGGAUUAGAUACCCGGGUAGUCCUGGCCGUAAACGAUGCAUACUAGGUGAUGGCAUGGCCAUGAGCCGUGUCAGUGCCGUAGGGAAACCGUUAAGUAUGCCGCCUGGGAAGUACGGUCGCAAGGCUAAAACUUAAAGGAAUUGGCGGGGGAGCACCACAAGGGGUGAAGCCUGCGGUUCAAUUGGACUCAACGCCGG
Molecule: ribosomal RNA, 934 nt
Filed under: uncultured archaeon
Lineage: Archaea
Description: bacterial SSU rRNA
Rfam family: Archaeal small subunit ribosomal RNA
Source: RNAcentral